Molecule: ribosomal RNA, 253 nt
Filed under: uncultured bacterium
Lineage: Bacteria
Description: partial 16S ribosomal RNA
Rfam family: Bacterial small subunit ribosomal RNA
Source: RNAcentral
UACGUAGGGGGCAAGCGUUGUUCGGAAUUACUGGGCGUAAAGGGCGCGUAGGCGGCUUAUCAAGUCAGGCGUGAAAUUCCCGGGCUCAACCUGGGGGCUGCGCUUGAUACUGAUGAGCUUGAAUGCGGGAGAGGAUAGUGGAAUUCCCAGUGUUGAGGUGAAAUUCGUAGAUAUUGGGAAGAACACCGGUGGCGAAGGCGGCUAUCUGGCCCGUAAUUGACGCUGAGGCGCGAAAGCGUGGGGAGCAAACAGG